This 3466-nucleotide long non-coding RNA is filed under the name Canis lupus familiaris (dog). RNAcentral describes it as "lncRNA (ENSCAFG00000058774.1, ENSCAFG00805022068.1)". Lineage: Eukaryota; Metazoa; Chordata; Mammalia; Carnivora; Canidae. The record is from RNAcentral.
UGGAUUUUAUUUAUUCGACGGAGAGAGAGUACAAGCAGGGAGAGUAGCAGGCAAAGGGAGAAGCAGGCUCCCCAUGGAGCAGGGAGCACAUUGGUGUUGGGCUUGAUCCCAGGACCCUGGGAUCUUGAGCUGAGCUGAAGGCAGGUACUUAACUGACUGAGCCCCCACCCCAGGUGCUCCCCAGUUGUCUUUUCUAUAAUGUAUGCAUUAUCUUCCUGGAGCUAGAGAAAAUAAGAACAAUAGCAUAGAAGGAGAGAUAAGGAUAUAGCUCCUGUCUCAAAAAAACAAAACAAAACUCUAUGAAUUCUAAAACUAAACCAAGUCAAACCAAACAAUCUCUCCUUUUGCAGGACAGACACAUGAUUGGAAGCAGAAUGAGAAUUGUUCUCAUACUGUGCGCCACCAUUGAUACAAAAAUAGAGUUUGCUUCAUUUAUAUCCUGUGAUUCUUUAAAAUAAAGUUUUUAUACCAAUAGGUCUGUUUCUAAUUCUGUUAAUGUCACAUUGCUUUAAAUGGUUCUUACUUUCAGUGGAUUCCCCUUUAUCAAGGCAGAGCUUCAUUAUGUGGCAUUUUCCAUAAGAAAACAAUUGCAAGUACUGCUAAAACCUGUACAUUUAUAAAUGAGAUUGAAUGACUUGUAUGCAGACACCCAGAGCACAAGGUUAUUCUAGAACUUCCCGUUUUUUAAUCAGCAGAUGACUGCCCACCCUACUGAGUAAUGAAAUCAUGGUAGGAAGAGAAUGGUUAAGAGUUCUCUGAUUCAUCCCCUCAUUCUGAGCAAGGUUAUAUGCAUCUAAGUUCUCUUAGAGAGAUUAAAACCUUCCUUAUAUUUAAGAUUCUAUGGAAGAAAAAACAUUGAGUGCUAUGUUCUAGGAGAAAGACUGUGGCCUUACCUCUUUCUGAAUUCUAGCUUCUCCACUAACAGGCUGUAUAAUCUUGGACAAUUAUAUGACUUUCUAAAGCUGAACUAUCUGCCCCCAGUCCUCUCAUCCCAGAAUUCCUCAUUAUCUGAUGUUGGCAAUGAUUUCUAUGUAUAUUUUUGUGAAGAUAAAAAAAGGAUAGCAUAUAUGGUGAUAUACCCAGUGAAGAUUGGAACAUUGAUCUCAGGUAACCAUCAUGUUUGGAAUUUAUACAGGUUUCUGCCAUUGGGAAUGAUACCUGUUGAUCUGAGAGAUUCCCUAGAAAGGUGCCAAAGAUUCAUACAGGUAUCAAUCUACUAUUCUUAAUGAGGAGAAACAAUUGAAGUUUGAUUAAACUGGGAUCUGAGCUGUCUGAGGACAUGACCUUUUCAUAACCAUGGGUGUAAUGAAACCCUGUGGGUUGGGUAGGGCUAUGUGGAAAACUUGCAUGAGAAAAACAUAAGGGUAUCCCAGUAACAAAAGGAAGGACUGAGGAUUUAGCUCCUCUCUGAAAUUACCAGAUAGUGAAAUUAGCUGGUUGGACCAAGAUGGAUGGCCUUGAUUAAUGCUUCAUGUCAGGGAAGAAUGAAGUGGUUCUGGAUCUGUGCCACAGAAAGCUCAGGUAUUUUCAAGAGAAGGGUGUCAGUCGUGGCUGAGUAUUUCUCCAGGGUACUAAGAAUCAACUGAUCUUGGUUCAUGAUCUAAGGGGGCCAGUCGUUAUGGAUUCUCCACAAACUAUGUAAAAUUCCAUUUCUAAUUUCCCAAAACCCAUUCUCUCUUAGAAAAGCAGACUAUUACUUAUAAAUCUUAUUGUCUGUCAGAGUGUUCUUAGCUCCCGACCAUUUGCAAUCAGCUUCUAGCUUGUUUGGAGUGGCCUGAGAAAUUGAGAGGUUUCUCAAUUCUGGUGUGGGAAAUGGAAAGGAUUCAAUUCUUGGUGGUCAACAAAAGAAAAAGAAAAACACCAAAAACUGGGGAACAAUUCUCUUCAUAUCGCUGAGAAAAACACUGGCCUGGUUCUUUGGCCUCUGAUUUCAUAAAUAAGCUUCUGAAGGAUCCAAACAGCAUCAGAGCCCCUAAUUCCUGGGAAUCGUGUUUUACUUGACUUUAUUCUUACCAUUUUAAAAUGGAAGGAAUUGGUGUUUAGGGGAAGUGUUCAGUGUUUAGGGAAAGUGUUCCCCAGUUCAUCUCUGUCCCAGCUCACCAUCUGAUGUGUUCCAGAGUUACAGUUGCACAGGUUCCAGCUUUUUAAAUAUUUCUCAAUCAGGAAGACACCAUAAGGCAGAAGCUCUCCCUUGAGUCUUCACUGCUGUAAUCCAUCUUUCUCAAGCAUGCUGACAUCUUGAAGACAUAUUGGCCUACUGCCAGAUAAAUAAGAUGUGUUGGUGUGGAAGGAUGAAUGUCUCUUAUCUUGCACAGUUACCUUGGGGAUGAUAUUCAAUGUUCUCCACAUAAUUCUUAUCUUCUCAGACAUGGAUAACACUUUAAACCCCUCACUACACUUCCAUCUACAUUAUCUAAGUUGCUUCUGGACAACCUUAUACAGGUGGUGGUAGUAUGCCCUUAUUAUAGAUUUGUUAUUGGUUCUCCAAAUAGAGUUGACCUAUGCUAUGCUAGGGAUUGAGGACACAGUUUUAAAGAAGCCAUAUUCUUUGCCUUAGAAAAGAUGAUGGGCCAGUGAAGAAUAAAGCUAAGUCAAUGGGCAAUUGUAUUAUAGGGAAAUAACUGCUAUAACAGGGCUCUAUGGGAAGGCAUAAGAGAGAUAAAGUUUUGAGACUGUGGUAGAGACCCUGUUGAUAUAAACCACUUGGCCUGUACUAUAUCAGUGCAUGCUGGUCUAUGUUCUACCUGCCAGCACUUUUGUCUCUUUAGCUAAAGGGGCUUUCUUUGGUCCCUCAGGCUAUUUAUCCCUUGAUCAAUGACUGGUAGGCAUUAGUUUACAAAUAUUCCUUGCUCUUCAGAUAGCUUGGUCUAAGUACAUGCUUCCUCCUGUUUUCUAUACUUUCCCAGUUGGAUCAAGCUCCAAAACCCACAGCGGUAACUGUCUUGAUAACACUCCAUUAGUUCCCCCUUGCAUCUCACUUUGGCACUUUCUAUAUUCCUGGCAUUGCAUUCCAAAUAAACUAUUUGAAGUCUAAUCCAUGUAUCAGAGUGAGCUUCUGGAAGAAGUAAAGCAUCUUUUAAAGAUAAAAUAUAUAUUUCUAUUUAGAAUAUAUUUUUCAUUCUUUUUUUCCUUGCUUUUUGUUUUUGUUUUUAUUGAAGUUCAAUUUGCCAACAUAUAUAUGUUUUGUUCUUUAAUCCAUCCAUUUCUUUAACAAAAUUUGAGUACCUCUUACAUACUUGGCAGGAGUUUCUGAAUAUCUUGGAGGAAGAAAAUACACAUAAUUUCUGACUUCAAGGGGGUCAGAGUCUAGUGGCAGUUUGCCAAUAAAAAUAUACGUAUAGGAAGAAUCUUUGAUAACUUCAAUAAGUAAAACAAAGGAAAACACAGCUUUAGGAGUCAUUUGGAGAAAAAUAAACAAUUUUAUAAAUGUGGGCACCAGUGUAAAGAGAAGAGAAGAGGGUCCAAC